This 541-nucleotide ribosomal RNA is filed under the name uncultured bacterium. Its description in RNAcentral is "bacterial SSU rRNA". It matches the Rfam family "Bacterial small subunit ribosomal RNA", at positions 388 to 929 of the family's 1533-position model. The record is from RNAcentral.
CCAGCCAAGUCGCGUGAAGGAUGACUGUCUUAUGGAUUGUAAACUUCUUUUGUAGGGGAAUAACGGACGGUACGUGUACCGUAUUGAAUGUACCCUACGAAUAAGCAUCGGCUAACUCCGUGCCAGCAGCCGCGGUAAUACGGAGGAUGCGAGCGUUAUCCGGAUUUAUUGGGUUUAAAGGGUGCGUAGGCGGCCUGUUAAGUCAGCGGUGAAAUCUAGGAGCUUAACUCCUAAAUUGCCAUUGAUACUGGCGGGCUUGAGUGUAGAUGAGGUAGGCGGAAUGCGUGGUGUAGCGGUGGAAUGCAUAGAUAUCACGCAGAACUCCAAUUGCGAAGGCAGCUUACUAAGGUACAACUGACGCUGAAGCACGAAAGCGUGGGUAUCAAACAGGAUUAGAUACCCUGGUAGUCCACGCAGUAAACGAUGAUAACUGGGCGUAUGCGAUAUACGGUAUGCUCCUAAGCGAAAGCGUUAAGUUAUCCACCUGGGGAGUACGCCGGCAACGGUGAAACUCAAAGGAAUUGACGGGGGCCCGCACAAG